RNAcentral lists this small nuclear RNA (139 nucleotides) under Pelodiscus sinensis (Chinese soft-shelled turtle). RNAcentral's name for it is "U4atac minor spliceosomal RNA (ENSPSIG00000019880.1)". It matches the Rfam family "U4 spliceosomal RNA". From Rfam's summary of the family: U4 small nuclear RNA (U4 snRNA) is a component of the major U2-dependent spliceosome. The structure of U4 snRNA from yeast and human has been reported. U4 snRNA presents a k-turn RNA motif in the 5p-SL related to recognition of Snu13 protein. The record is from RNAcentral. Lineage: Eukaryota; Metazoa; Chordata; Testudines; Trionychidae.
UUUUUCGUUAGCUUUGCGCAGUGGCAGUAUCGUAGCCAAUGAGGUUAAUCCGAGGCGCGAUUAUUGCUAAUUGAAAACUUUUCCCAAUACCCCGCCAUGACGACUUGAAAUAUAGUCGGCAUUGGCAAUUUUUGACAGU